This 518-nucleotide ribosomal RNA is filed under the name uncultured bacterium. RNAcentral's name for it is "partial 16S ribosomal RNA". It matches the Rfam family "Bacterial small subunit ribosomal RNA", at positions 356 to 884 of the family's 1533-position model. The record is from RNAcentral.
GGGGAAUAUUGCACAAUGGGCGAAAGCCUGAUGCAGCGACGCCGCGUGCGGGAUGAAGGCCUUCGGGUUGUAAACCGCUUUUAAUUGGGAGCAAGCGAGAGUGAGUGUACCUUUUGAAUAAGCACCGGCUAACUACGUGCCAGCAGCCGCGGUAAUACGUAGGGUGCAAGCGUUAUCCGGAAUUAUUGGGCGUAAAGAGCUCGUAGGCGGUUUGUCACGCCUGGUGUGAAAGUCCAUCGCUUAACGGUGGAUCUGCGCCGGGUACGGGCAGGCUAGAGUGCAGUAGGGGAGAUUGGAAUUCCCGGUGUAACGGUGGAAUGUGUAGAUAUCGGGAAGAACACCAAUGGCGAAGGCAGAUCUCUGGGCUGUUACUGACGCUGAGGAGCGAAAGCAUGGGGAGCGAACAGGAUUAGAUACCCUGGUAGUCCAUGCCGUAAACGGUGGAUGCUGGAUGUGGGACCCUUCCACGGGUUCCGUGUCGGAGCUAACGCGUUAAGCAUCCCGCCUGGGGGAGUACG